CAGGGUCAAAAGGUCAUGAUUUUCAUGCUUGCAUGAAAAAGCAUGACUUUGGGACCCGUAAAACAUGAGAAAGUAGCCCGAUCGGGCGGAUUUCGAAUGUUUUCAGGAUUGCGGGAGCAUGAAAUGCGGAGCAAUCCGUAGCAUC
Molecule: small RNA, 145 nt
Filed under: uncultured Fusicatenibacter sp.
Lineage: Bacteria; Bacillati; Bacillota; Clostridia; Lachnospirales; Lachnospiraceae
Description: Clostridiales-1 RNA
Rfam family: Clostridiales-1 RNA
Source: RNAcentral